This 407-nucleotide ribosomal RNA is filed under the name uncultured bacterium. Its description in RNAcentral is "partial 16S ribosomal RNA". It matches the Rfam family "Bacterial small subunit ribosomal RNA", at positions 28 to 526 of the family's 1533-position model. The record is from RNAcentral.
GACGAACGCUGGCGGCGUGCCUAAUACAUGCAAGUAGGACGCAGUUGCGAACGGGUGGGUAACGCGUAGGUAACUAGCUAUGAGUGGGGGCUAACUACUGGAAACGAUAGCUCAUACCGCAUACUAGUAGAUGGAACUACGGUGUAGUUGCUAGUAGGUCGGGUAAUGGCCUACCUAGGCAACGAUACAUAGCCGACCUGAGAGGGUGGUCGGCCAAACUUGGACUGAGACACCGCCCCGACUUCUACGGGAGGCAGCAGUAGGGAAUCUUCGGACAUUGGGGGAACCCUGACCGAGCAAAGGCGCGUGAGUGAAGAAGGUUUUCGGAUCGUAAAGCUCUUUUGUUAAGGAAGCGGUACUUAACCAGAAAGGGACGGCUAACUACGUGCCAGCAGCCGCGGUAAUAC